AGAGUUUGAUCCUGGCUCAGGACGAACGCUGGCGGCGUGGAUUAGGCAUGCAAGUCGAACGCGAACGGAUUGCUUCGGUAAUCUUAUUAGAGUGGCGAACGGGUGAGUAACGCGUAGGUAAUCUACCUUUAAGUGGGGGAUAGCCUCGGGAAACCGGGGGUAAUACCGCAUGUGUCCGGCAUUAGCCGGAUAAAAGUGGCCUCUAAUUAAGCUAUUGCUUAGAGAUGAGCCUGCGUCCUAUUAGUUAGUUGGUAAGGUAAGAGCUUACCAAGGCGAUGAUAGGUAGGCGGCCUUAACGGGUGGUCGCCACACUGGGAUUGAGAUACGGCCCAGACUCCUACGGGAGGCAGCAGUCGAGAAUAGUCUACAAUGGGGGAAACCCUGAUAGUGCGACGCCGCGUGAACGAUGAAUCCUUUCGGGGUGUAAAGUUCUUUUCUGCGUGAGCAAGACAUAUAAGAUUAAUAGUUUUAUGUGUAAGAUAUUAGCGCAGGAAUAAGCUCCGGCUAACUCCGUGCCAGCAGCCGCGGUAACACGGGGGGAGCAAGCGUUGUCCGGAAUCACUAGGCGUAAAGGGCAAGUAGGCGGAUCAAUCAGUCAGGUGUUAAAGGCGUCGGCUCAACCGGCGUAUAGCAUUUGAUACCGUUGAUCUAGAGUGAAGUAGAGGAAGACGGAAUUCCUGGUGUAGCGGUGGAAUGCGCAGAUAUCAGGAAGAACACCGAUGGCGAAGGCAGUCUUCUGGGCUUCAACUGACGCUAAAUUGCGAAGGUGUGGGUAUCGAACAGGAUUAGAUACCCUGGUAGUCCACACAGUAAACGAUGAACACUAGGUGUUGGUCUCGUCAGAAAGAGAUCAGUGCCGUAGCAAACGCGAUAAGUGUUUCGCCUGGGGAGUACGAUCGCAAGGUUGAAACUCAAAGGAAUUGACGGGGCCCCUCACAAGCGGUGGAGCAUGUGGUUUAAUUCGAUGCAACGCGAAGAACCUUACCUGGGCUUGACAUCCUUGGAAUUUAUCAGAGAUGAUUAAGUGCCCUUUCGGGGGAACCAAGUGACAGGUGCUGCAUGGCUGUCGUCAGCUCGUGUCGUGAGAUGUUGGGUUAAGUCCCGCAACGAGCGCAACCCCUAUCUUUAGUUACUACCACGUAAAGGUGAGGACUCUAAAGAGACUGCCAGUGUAAUAAACUGGAGGAAGGUGGGGACGACGUCAAGUCAUCAUGGUCCUUAUGUCCAGGGCUACACACGUGCUACAAUGGUCGGUACAGAGGGAAGCGAGACAGUGAUGUGGAGCAAAUCCCAGAAAGCCGAUCUCAGUUCGGAUUGGAGUCUGCAACUCGACUCCAUGAAGUUGGAAUCGCUAGUAAUCGCGUAUCAGAACGACGCGGUGAAUACGUUCCCGGGGCUUGUACACACCGCCCGUC
This 1415-nucleotide ribosomal RNA is filed under the name metagenome. RNAcentral's name for it is "bacterial SSU rRNA". It matches the Rfam family "Bacterial small subunit ribosomal RNA". The record is from RNAcentral.